GGCGGCAGGCUUAACACAUGCAAGUCGAGCGGAAACGAUGAUAGCUUGCUAUCAGGCGUCGAGCGGCGGACGGGUGAGUAAUACUUAGGAAUCUACCUAGUAGUGGGGGAUAGCUCGGGGAAACUCGAAUUAAUACCGCAUACGUCCUACGGGAGAAAGGGGGCAACUUGUUGCUCUCGCUAUUAGAUGAGCCUAAGUCGGAUUAGCUAGAUGGUGGGGUAAAGGCCUACCAUGGCGACGAUCUGUAGCUGGUCUGAGAGGAUGAUCAGCCACACCGGGACUGAGACACGGCCCGGACUCCUACGGGAGGCAGCAGUGGGGAAUAUUGGACAAUGGGGGGAACCCUGAUCCAGCCAUGCCGCGUGUGUGAAGAAGGCCUUUUGGUUGUAAAGCACUUUAAGCAGUGAAGAAGACUCUUCGGUUAAUACCCGGGGACGAUGACAUUAGCUGCAGAAUAAGCACCGGCUAACUCUGUGCCAGCAGCCGCGGUAAUACAGAGGGUGCAAGCGUUAAUCGGAAUUACUGGGCGUAAAGCGAGCGUAGGUGGCUUGAUAAGUCAGAUGUGAAAUCCCCGGGCUUAACCUGGGAACUGCAUCUGAAACUGUUAGGCUAGAGUAGGUGAGAGGGAAGUAGAAUUUCAGGUGUAGCGGUGAAAUGCGUAGAGAUCUGAAGGAAUACCGAUGGCGAAGGCAGCUUCCUGGCAUCAUACUGACACUGAGGCUCGAAAGCGUGGGUAGCAAACAGGAUUAGAUACCCUGGUAGUCCACGCCGUAAACGAUGUCUACUAGUCGUUGGGUCCCUUGAGGACUUAGUGACGCAGCUAACGCAAUAAGUAGACCGCCUGGGGAGUGCGGCCGCAAGGUUAAAACUCAAAUGAAUUGACGGGGGCCCGCACAAGCGGUGGAGCAUGUGGUUUAAUUCGAUGCAACGCGAAGAACCUUACCUGGUCUUGACAUACACAGAAUC
RNAcentral lists this ribosomal RNA (966 nucleotides) under uncultured bacterium. RNAcentral's name for it is "bacterial SSU rRNA". It matches the Rfam family "Bacterial small subunit ribosomal RNA", at positions 38 to 997 of the family's 1533-position model. The record is from RNAcentral.